This 465-nucleotide ribosomal RNA is filed under the name uncultured bacterium. Its description in RNAcentral is "bacterial SSU rRNA". It matches the Rfam family "Bacterial small subunit ribosomal RNA", at positions 329 to 792 of the family's 1533-position model. The record is from RNAcentral.
CUCCAGACUCCUACGGGAGGCAGCAGUGAGGAAUAUUGGUCAAUGGUCGGGAGACUGAACCAGCCAAGCCGCGUGAGGGAGGAAGGUACAGAGUAUCGUAAACCUCUUUUGUCAGGGAACAAAGGCGGGGACGUGUCCCCGGAUGAGUGUACCUGAAGAAAAAGCAUCGGCUAACUCCGUGCCAGCAGCCGCGGUAAUACGGAGGAUGCGAGCGUUAUCCGGAUUUAUUGGGUUUAAAGGGUGCGUAGGCGGUCCGUUAAGUCAGCGGUAAAAUUGCGGGGCUCAACCCCGUCGAGCCGUUGAAACUGGCAGACUUGAGUUGGCGAGAAGUAUGCGGAAUGCGUGGUGUAGCGGUGAAAUGCAUAGAUAUCACGCAGAACUCCGAUUGCGAAGGCAGCAUACCGGCGCCCAACUGACGCUGAAGCACGAAAGCGUGGGUAUCGAACAGGAUUAGAUACCCGAGUA